CGGCAACGUCCUGGCGGCGACCGGCGCACGGGUGAGUAACGCGUAUGCAACCUGCCCUUCACUGGGGGAUAACAGUUGGAAACGACUGCUAAUACCGCAUGACACAUUGGGGUCGCAUGGCCUUGAUGUCAAAGAUUUAUCGCUGAAAGAUGGCCUCGCGUCUGAUUAGCUAGUUGGUGAGGUAACGGCCCACCAAGGCGACGAUCAGUAGCCGGACUGAGAGGUUGAACGGCCACAUUGGGACUGAGAUACGGCCCAGACUCC
Molecule: ribosomal RNA, 264 nt
Filed under: uncultured Oscillibacter sp.
Lineage: Bacteria; Bacillati; Bacillota; Clostridia; Eubacteriales; Oscillospiraceae
Description: partial 16S ribosomal RNA
Rfam family: Bacterial small subunit ribosomal RNA
Source: RNAcentral